CUUGGAAGGGGUGUGAGUUUCGACCACCGCGGCAACGGCGGCUGCGUUCCUUCGAGUCUCUCCACUUCGACUGUACCAGUGAGAGAGCGCAAGUUGGUGACUCGAUCCGAUCUACUUGCAAUCCUAUUCGAUCUCGUCUCAUUGUGGCAGUCUGGUGACGUUUUCUGAGUCUCGAAACCCUCCAAACUCAUUCUUUGGAAUCUGAUGAUUCUUAGUUUGUCCGAGUUAUCGGUAAAUUCCGACAACACGUUUGCCAUUAGAUUUUGGUUUCUCGUGUUUCUGUCUUGUGAACUCUUAUCGGUCAUAUUCUACGGAUCAUAUUAAUCAUCCGUGCUGCUUCACAUUCCAAACAUCGAACCAAUAAUUAUUGUAAGGAUUCAGUAAUUCCAUCUUAUAACUUCCUAAUCGAGAAAUUGAGACUCCAUUUUGCACAAUUUCUGUAGUUAUUGAACGUUGUAAAUGUUUCUUGAAUGUGUUGUCUACUCAGUAGAUACUUUAUUGGCUCAGAUAGAUAUGAAUUAGUAUUUCUCUUUACGACAUCAAGAUGCUAGAUGAUGGUCGUCAUGAUUUAUCCUCUUUUGCAGACUGAUUUCGAAAUGGAACACCAUGUUAUGAUUUUUUUUUAUAGAAUAAGACAUUGCAGAAGGUGAAACAAUUGUGCUGUUCUCCAUGUCAUAUCAUCAACUAACUUCAGUGCAUGCUGAUGCAUCAGACAGGGUUUGCAAACCAGGUUCUUUUUUCCUUCUCUAUGUCUAGGCAAAUAUAGACAUGCACAGAUGUAGCUAUAACUCACAACUCAUUGUUAUUUAAGCAAUAAGAAAUUUAGAUUGAUUUUUUUUUUUUUUUUGGUGCUUACUGAUAACUCUCUACUGAUAUUUCUUGUUACACAGGUGUAAAUCUCAGCUCGAUGUCACAAUUGUUAUCAUCUUAACAAAGGUCCUAAAUGGUAACAUGCAUGCUAUGUCAUCGUCUUAUAUUUAAAAUUCCAUGAGAUUCUGGUUUUUCUGCCAUCAUCAUGCCGACACCAUCAUCACAACAAAAUAACAAAUUUGAACACCAAAAUUUAGGUAUGCAAACACACAUACAGACCGACAUGGCAGGAUAUUUUGGUGGAUUCAAUGAUUUCACAUCAAUACCAGAAGCAGCAAAGUGGUGAAACCUAGCAUGAGAAGAUUGUUGGUUGGUCAUGAAAGAGAAGAAGCCCUUUCAUCCAUCCAUUUAUUCCUUAAUCCAUUAGUGGUGGUAUCUUUUGGCUUUCUGGACAAGAGAACUUCAUUUUCCAACUUUAAGACUGGCUUAAGAUGAUUUUUCAUUUCAUGUUCUUAGCUCACACCAGUCUUUCAAGUGGGAAUAACUGCAAGGCACUCUCAGUUCAUGUGAAGUUGGAAACCACCACACCCAUUUCCUACUUUACCAAGGAUUGCAGCUUCAAGGACCUACAUAUCAUAUGCAAAAGAUUUUAGUUGUUUGCACUUUUUUCUCAUUAUAGUUGUUGCACUGGUUGCCGUCACGUUACUAACAUGGGCCUUGUUCGAGAAAAAAGAUUUUCCUAGAAAUUGAGACCACUGGAUUGGACUAGUUGUGCAAGCAAUUGCAAACCACUUGCAAAAAUCUUUUGGAAGUUUGAGAAGGCUCUGCAUAUCUCUGGAAUUUCCAGAAGCCUCUGAAAUUGAUGUGUGAAAUGUGAUCUUUGCCUUGUGCACCAAAAAUUUUCUUUUCAUGUCAUGCUUUGCUUCUUGCCGACUGAUCUAGGUGAAGGCUGUGGAGGCACCAGGGACCGAGACCAUAUUUAGUGAUUGCUUUUUCGGCCCACUGUUUCAAGCACAGCAUAUGAGAUUCCGACAACGACCGGCACCCGAGCUGGCAUUUGGACAGGAGAUGCCACUAUGAUUUUAAAGCUCCAACCAACCAAGCGGAUCGGUGGCUGAGCUCCCUGGAUGUUGGCAUCAAUUGCUAUUGAAGGUGGCAUCAAUUAUCAUUCCCCUCCUUUGGUGGAUCCUACCUGCCACAUUACCAGGAACCAAAGUGCUACAUCAUGAAAGUGAUCGGCUCCCCUCAUCACUCAGGCUUGAUGCUUAUCCUCGUCAGGUCUCAGUUCUGUUGAAGCUUGGUACUUCGAGACCCAUCUGGUGACGGUGGAAGUAAAGAAGUCAUUCAUGGUUGUGUGUGUUCAUGUUUCAAGGGGACACCCUCGGUGGAAGUUUUUGGUAAGCAUGGUUUCUGUAGUAAGAGAUGUGAAAUGUCCAGCCACUGUCGGGAUUAAACCGCUUUGGAUCAAAUUGCACAUCUUGAACUUAUUGAGCAAGUGUUCUUCAAUUCCUUUACCUUAUGAUUGUUUAUUCUA
Musa acuminata AAA Group (dessert banana) is the source of this 2344-nucleotide long non-coding RNA. RefSeq lists it as uncharacterized. The record is from RefSeq and is a predicted model, not a curated record. The transcript has 4 exons. Lineage: Eukaryota; Viridiplantae; Streptophyta; Magnoliopsida; Zingiberales; Musaceae.